RNAcentral lists this ribosomal RNA (443 nucleotides) under uncultured bacterium. Its description in RNAcentral is "SSU rRNA". It matches the Rfam family "Bacterial small subunit ribosomal RNA", at positions 26 to 518 of the family's 1533-position model. The record is from RNAcentral.
AGAGCGAACGCUGGCGGCAGGCCUAACACAUGCAAGUCGAGCGCCCCGCAAGGGGAGCGGCAGACGGGAGAGUAACACGUGGGAACGUACCCUUUGGUUCGGAACAACACAGGGAAACUUGUGCUAAUACCGGAUAAGCCCUUACGGGGAAAGAUUUAUCGCCAAAGGAUCGGCCCGCGUCUGAUUAGCUAGUUGGUGGGGUAACGGCUCACCAAGGCUACGAUCAGUAGCUGGUCUGAGAGGAUGAUCAGCCUCGCUGGGACUGAGACACGGCCCAGACUCCUACGGGAGGCAGCAGUGGGGAAUAUUGGACAAUGGGCGCAAGCCUGAUCCAGCCAUGCCGCGUGGGUGAUGAAGGCCCUAGGGUUGUAAAGCCCUUUCGGCGGGAAGAUAAUGACGGUACCCGCAGAAGAAGCCCCGGCUAACUUCGUGCCAGCAGCCGC